This 114-nucleotide transfer-messenger RNA is filed under the name Reyranella sp. Its description in RNAcentral is "partial transfer-messenger RNA". It matches the Rfam family "Alphaproteobacteria transfer-messenger RNA", at positions 207 to 355 of the family's 355-position model. From Rfam's summary of the family: Bacterial tmRNA, also known as 10Sa RNA or SsrA, is named for its dual tRNA and mRNA-like properties. The record is from RNAcentral. Lineage: Bacteria; Pseudomonadati; Pseudomonadota; Alphaproteobacteria; Hyphomicrobiales; Reyranellaceae.
CCGUGACGGGCCAUUCACAAGUGCUAACGAUAACACCGUUACACUCGCUGCUGCCGCCUAAACAGCGGACGUAAGCGCGGUCCGGGGGGCACCGGGCAACAGAAGCCCCCCACU